Molecule: unclassified non-coding RNA, 251 nt
Filed under: Herpotrichiellaceae sp.
Lineage: Eukaryota; Fungi; Ascomycota; Eurotiomycetes; Chaetothyriales; Herpotrichiellaceae
Description: partial contains small subunit ribosomal RNA, internal transcribed spacer 1, and 5.8S ribosomal RNA
Rfam family: Eukaryotic small subunit ribosomal RNA (bases 1-46)
Source: RNAcentral
AAGUCGUAACAAGGUUUCCGUAGGUGAACCUGCGGAAGGAUCAUUACCGAGCAAGGGUCUUUGGGGCCCGACCUCCAACCCUUUGUUUAUUCUACCCUGUUGCUUUGGCGGGCCCGUCCUCAGGGGCCGCCGGGGGUCUCACCACCUCUGGUCAGUGUCUGCCAGUAGCCUUUUUAAAUUCUCUAUAACUGUGACGUCUGAGUACAAAAAUAAAUCGUUAAAAACUUUCAACAACGGAUCUCUUGGUUCUG